This 200-nucleotide ribosomal RNA is filed under the name uncultured bacterium. RNAcentral describes it as "partial 16S ribosomal RNA". It matches the Rfam family "Bacterial small subunit ribosomal RNA", at positions 28 to 226 of the family's 1533-position model. The record is from RNAcentral.
GACGAACGCUGGCGGCGUGCUUAACACAUGCUAGUCGAACGGAAAGGCCCUGCUUUUGUGGGGUGCUCGAGUGGCGAACGGGUGAGUAACACGUGAGUAACCUGCCCUUGACUUUGGGAUAACUUCAGGAAACUGGGGCUAAUACCGGAUAGGAGCUCCUGCUGCAUGGUGGGGGUUGGAAAGUUUCGGCGGUUGGGGAU